GAUGAACGCUGGCGGCGUGCCUAAUACAUGCAAGUCGAGCGAACAGACGAGGAGCUUGCUCCUCUGACGUUAGCGGCGGACGGGUGAGUAACACGUGGAUAACCUACCUAUAAGACUGGGAUAACUUCGGGAAACCGGAGCUAAUACCGGAUAAUAUAUUGAACCGCAUGGUUCAAUAGUGAAAGACGGUUUUGCUGUCACUUAUAGAUGGAUCCGCGCCGCAUUAGCUAGUUGGUAAGGUAACGGCUUACCAAGGCGACGAUGCGUAGCCGACCUGAGAGGGUGAUCGGCCACACUGGAACUGAGACACGGUCCAGACUCCUAUGGGAGGCAGCAGUAGGGAAUCUUCCGCAAUGGGCGAAAGCUUGACGGAGCAACGCCGCGUGAGUGAUGAAGGUCUUCGGAUCGUAAAACUCUGUUAUUAGGGAAGAACAAAUGUGUAAGUAACUAUGCACGUCUUGACGGUACCUAAUCAGAAAGCCACGGCUAACUACGUG
RNAcentral lists this ribosomal RNA (497 nucleotides) under uncultured bacterium. RNAcentral's name for it is "partial 16S ribosomal RNA". It matches the Rfam family "Bacterial small subunit ribosomal RNA", at positions 28 to 507 of the family's 1533-position model. The record is from RNAcentral.